GCGAAAACUUUACAAUGCUGGCAACAGCGAUAAGGGAACCUCGAGUGCCAGGUCACAAAUCUGGCUGUCGAGAUGCCUAAAAAGCAUUUCAUAGCAAGGGCCGGGCAAGACCGGUGCCAGCCGCCGCGGUAACACCGGCGGCUCGAGUGGUAACCGUUAUUAUUGGGUCUAAAGGGUCUGUAGCCGGCCGGAUAAGUCUCUUGGGAAAUCCAGCAGCUUAACUGUUGGGCUUUCAGGAGAUACUGUCUGGCUCGAGGCCGGGAGAGGUGAGAGGUACUUCAGGGGUAGGGGUGAAAUCUUGUAAUCCUUGAAGGACCACCAGUGGCGAAGGCGUCUCACCAGAACGGACCUGACGGCAAGGGACGAAAGCUAGGGGCACGAACC
Molecule: ribosomal RNA, 384 nt
Filed under: uncultured prokaryote
Description: bacterial SSU rRNA
Rfam family: Archaeal small subunit ribosomal RNA
Source: RNAcentral